ACUCAAAGGAAUUGACGGGGGCCCGCACAAGCAGCGGAGCGUGUGGUUUAAUUCGAUGCAACGCGAAGAACCUUACCCGGGCUUGACAUGCACGUGGUACCGAGUCGAAAGGCGAGGGACCCGCAAGGGAGCGUGCACAGGUGCUGCACGGCUGUCGUCAGCUCGUGCCGUGAGGUGUUGGGUUAAGUCCCGCAACGAGCGCAACCCCCGCGAGUAGUUACCACGUCUACUCGGACCGCCGGGACCAACCCGGAGGAAGGUGGGGACGACGUCAAGUCAGCAUGGCCCUGACGCCCGGGGCGACACACACGCUACAAUGGCCGGGACAAUGGGCCGCGAGGCCGCGAGGCGGAGCCAAUCCCACCAAACCCGGCCCCAGUUCGGAUCGGAGGCUGCAACCCGCCUCCGUGAAGUCGGAGUUGCUAGUAACCGCCGGUCAGCACACGGCGGUGAAUGCGUUCCCGGGCCUUGUACACACCGCCCGU
RNAcentral lists this ribosomal RNA (485 nucleotides) under uncultured bacterium. RNAcentral's name for it is "partial 16S ribosomal RNA". It matches the Rfam family "Bacterial small subunit ribosomal RNA", at positions 899 to 1397 of the family's 1533-position model. The record is from RNAcentral.